RNAcentral lists this ribosomal RNA (429 nucleotides) under uncultured bacterium. RNAcentral describes it as "bacterial SSU rRNA". It matches the Rfam family "Bacterial small subunit ribosomal RNA", at positions 355 to 776 of the family's 1533-position model. The record is from RNAcentral.
UAGGGAAUCUUCCACAAUGGGCGCAAGCCUGAUGGAGCAACACCGCGUGAGGGAAGAAGGGUUUCGGCUCGUAAAGCUCUGUUGUUGGAGAAGAACGUGCGUGAGAGUAACUGUUCACGCAGUGACGGUAUCCCACAAGAAAGUAUCGGACAAUUACGUGCCAGAAGCCGCGGUAAUACGUAGGUGGCAAGCGUUAUCCGGAUUUAUUGGGCGUAAAGCGAGCGCAGGCGGUUGCUUAGGUCUGAUGUGAAAGCCUUCGGCUUAACCGAAGAAGUGCAUCGGAAACCGGGCGACUUGAGUGCAGAAGAGGACAGUGGAACUCCAUGUGUAGCGGUGGAAUGCGUAGAUAUAUGGAAGAACACCAGUGGCGAAGGCGGCUGUCUGGUCUGCAACUGACGCUGAGGCUCGAAAGCAUGGGUAGCGAACAGG